AAAAGGAGAGUAGACGUUUGACCCCAUCCCACAGUGUGUUCCGCUGAACCUGUCGACGGCGUCCGGGGCGAGUCUUCGCCGGCGACGAACGCUCCCGGCCCGGCCGUCGCCGGCGCCACCGCUAUGCACCGUCCGUCUGGAAGAGAAUAUCGUUCCGGCUUCUUUCCUCCCUUCGCCGCAGCGUCGCCGAUGGGAAGGAGGUAGGACUACAAGAAAGAAGGUGAAGCUGCACGCUGGAGACUGAUGUAUUUGACAAGCAAUUAAAGCCAGAGGUAGGACUACAAGAACAAAGUACGCUGAAGGCUGAUGUGUUUGACAGGUCCUUGAAGCUUUGCUCUCACCAACUAAUUUCCUCUUUGCUUUGAGGAACUCAAGGAGAUCCUGGAGUACAGCAUCACUGUUCUCGUUCCUCAUUAGAACCUCAGCAACCUCCGCAGAAUCCGAACAGACUCUGCGGUGCAGUACCCCAUGUGGAUGUGCAUGUCCAUCCUGCCAGGCCGCAGUAGUGCUGGGUCAAGCCGCUCCCUGUAAUUUGUGGUAAAAACGAUGAUCCUCUCCUCCCCGCUUGUCGACCAGAGACCGUCAACAAAGUUGAGCAGCCCAGAAAGCGUCACCUGUUCAACAAAUUUCCGAGCAGCAUUGAGCUGGACCUGACACGCUUCUCGCCUUCCUCCCGCUGCCGCAGGUCAAUGCUACAGUCAAUGUCUUCAACCACAAGGAUGGAUCGGUUGCUCAUCCCGACAAGAAGCCUCCGGAGGUCCGAGUUGCUUUUAACCUCGGUCAGCUCAAGAUCAUAGAUGUCAAACUUGAGGUAAUUCGCCAUCGCUGCGAUCAGGCUUGACUUGCCAGUCCCAGGUGGUCCGUAGAGCAGCUUCUUGUCCAUGGCGAGCGUGUCGAAGGUGGACGGGUGGCGGAGGUCGACGGCUGUCCAGGCGUCGUACUCGAUCAUGUGCAUCUUGAGGUUCCGGUGCUGGUCUUUCAUGGCCUUGGCCGUGGCGACGAUGUGCGGGAGAAAUUGCUUGUAGUUUCCGAUGUUAGUCAUGGUCUCUGUCAUCUUGCUCCUCAUCCAGCUGGUUAUUUGCACUGCUGUGUUCGCUCUUGAUCACAUUGGCAUCAUUCACUUUUGACUUCAGGAGAUCGAUGAGAUCAUGGAGCGCGACAUCAGCAUCAUCAUUCCUCAUCAGAACCUCAGCGACCUCUGCAGGUGUCACCAUCACCUCCUUCAUCAGCUUCUCAAUCUCCGGAUAUGUGGCAUGGCCGCAGCAGCGCCGGGUCAAGCCGCUCCUUGUAAUUGGUCGUGAAGACGAUGAUCCUCUCCUCCCCGCUCGCUGACCACAGCCCAUCAACAAAGUUGAGCAUUCCAGAAAGUGUAACCUGUGUGGAUCGUUCAAAUUUCCGUCAGCAUAUCAGCAUAUAGGUAAGGAGGAAGUUGUGGAAUGAAGAAUAUCAGAAAAGAAUCCGACUUGGUAUCUUCCUCGCCUCCCUCCCGUUGUUGCAGUUUGAUGGUGCAGUCGAUAUCCUCAACCACAAGAAUGGAUCGGCUGCUAAUGCCGACAAGAAGCUUCCUGAGGUCCAUGUUGCUUUGGACCGAAGUCAGCUCGAGAUCAUAUAUGUCAAACCUGAGAUGGUUGGCCAUGGCCGCGAUCAGGCUGGACUUUCCGGUCCCAGGUGGACCGUAGAGCAGGGAGUGGUAUGCCGUAUGCGGAGAAGACGAGGCCAGACGAAGGAGGUGGGUGCUGAUGAAGAAUUGAGGUGGAGGCGUGGAGCUUGGGUACGGUGGCGCGGCAUUUAUAUGCGCGAGUCGAGUGGCG
Molecule: long non-coding RNA, 1811 nt
Organism: Setaria italica (foxtail millet)
Lineage: Eukaryota; Viridiplantae; Streptophyta; Magnoliopsida; Poales; Poaceae
Exons: 11
Source: RefSeq, a predicted model, not a curated record